RNAcentral lists this ribosomal RNA (301 nucleotides) under uncultured bacterium. RNAcentral's name for it is "partial 16S ribosomal RNA". It matches the Rfam family "Bacterial small subunit ribosomal RNA", at positions 509 to 807 of the family's 1533-position model. The record is from RNAcentral.
CAGUAGCCGCGGUAAUACGUAGGGUGCGAGCGUUAAUCGGAAUUACUGGGCGUAAAGCGUGCGCAGGCGGUUUUGUAAGACAGGCGUGAAAUCCCCGGGCUCAACCUGGGAAUGGCGCUUGUGACUGCAAAGCUAGAGUGCGGCAGAGGGGGAUGGAAUUCCGCGUGUAGCAGUGAAAUGCGUAGAUAUGCGGAGGAACACCGAUGGCGAAGGCAAUCCCCUGGGCCUGCACUGACGCUCAUGCACGAAAGCGUGGGGAGCAAACAGGAUUAGAUACCCCAGUAGUCCCUGUCUCUUAUAC